GCCUGGGUGGGCUCAGUCGGUUGAGCAUCUGGCUUCGGCUCAGGUCAUGAUCUCACAGUUUGUGGGUUCGAGCCCCACAUCAGGCU
This 86-nucleotide transfer RNA is filed under the name Felis catus (domestic cat). It matches the Rfam family "tRNA". From Rfam's summary of the family: Transfer RNA (tRNA) molecules are approximately 80 nucleotides in length. Their secondary structure includes four short double-helical elements and three loops (D, anti-codon, and T loops). Further hydrogen bonds mediate the characteristic L-shaped molecular structure. tRNAs have two regions of fundamental functional importance: the anti-codon, which is responsible for specific mRNA codon recognition, and the 3' end, to which the tRNAs corresponding amino acid is attached (by aminoacyl-tRNA synthetases). tRNAs cope with the degeneracy of the genetic code in two manners: having more than one tRNA (with a specific anti-codon) for a particular amino acid; and 'wobble' base-pairing, i.e. permitting non-standard base-pairing at the 3rd anti-codon position. The record is from Rfam by way of RNAcentral. Lineage: Eukaryota; Metazoa; Chordata; Mammalia; Carnivora; Felidae.